GUAAAAACACCUCCUUUCUUCAUUCUAUGCAGUGGAGUUGUAAUGAAGUUUCAGACUUGUCGCCCCAAAUGGAUGGGGUUCAAAUCCUACAACUCUAUCCUAGAAACAAAAUGGGGGAAUAAACCAAAGGACUAAAGUUUCAUGUAGAGGCUUUAGCAGCAGCAGAUUUCUUUUUCGAAAUAUCCAUCUUUUUGUCAGAAUCAGUAGCCUUCCUCUUGUCCUUCCUCUCCCUCUUCUUUAGUGCAGUCAACCGGGCCUUCAGCAAAAUUGCAUAAGAUGCUUGGAAACGCUGGUGAUCUUUUGCUCCAACCAUUGUGGAAAUAUUCUUUUUCCCAUCAGUUGCUCGGAUGAGGCACUUAAAUUCAAGAGUUUCACCAGCUGUCUUCAUCUUAUUCCGUUGGGCUUUAGAUUUAUCAGAAGAGUGUUUAAGCGUAACCCAAACGGAACCAUGCUCAGUAGUUCGCUCAAACAUACUCGUCAGUUCAUUGAGGAAUGGGUCUGGC
RNAcentral lists this unclassified non-coding RNA (503 nucleotides) under Hevea brasiliensis (rubber tree). The record is from RNAcentral. Lineage: Eukaryota; Viridiplantae; Streptophyta; Magnoliopsida; Malpighiales; Euphorbiaceae.